GAGCAAGCAUGGCAGAAGGCCAACGUGGAUGAACAUGGAGCUCCUGCCUAAGCUCAAACGCAGUCUUUUGCCAUGUUCAUAGAGCUGCCUUACAGAAUCUCUGCCGCUGUGUGACAGCCCCUGCUGCUGCCGUCUGCAGCCGGAGACAUCCUUUAGGAGGAAGUGGGAGUUUCUCUUAUGCAGGAGUGGCAGCACUGUGCUCUUAAAAUUGCUUGCCGUCUGGUGGCGAUAAAAGCACUGAGCUCUGUGGCUGAGUUCAAAGCUUUGCAUCAGUGGUUGGAGACAGCAGAAGGCAGGCUGCAGCCUGCAGCCACAGGGAGUCGUGCCCUGGAGAUGGGGACACAGCUCAUACCUCAUCAUCGUGGCCAGUGGGCAGUCAGCAGCUCAGCCUGGCCGCAUGGUCUCCAAAGCUGGGAAGGCAAACCGCAGCAAGCAGCUGGGCAAGCAGAAAAUACAACACAGCAAGGCUUCUUUUGACCUCCUUCUCACUCGCAUGCAAAGCUGCCUUUACCAGAAAAGUCCCUGGGACAGCGCUUCUUUGGCAGUAUUCUCUGAAUUCCUUGACAUACAACUGAAGUGCUGAGAAUACUACAAUAGUCAUUCAUCACAGUACAAAAGAAGCCAAGUCCAAGUCGUUACAGAAUGUAUCCAGCAGUUGCACUGGUACUGUUUUCACAAGUACAACAAAAA
Molecule: long non-coding RNA, 690 nt
Organism: Gallus gallus (chicken)
Lineage: Eukaryota; Metazoa; Chordata; Aves; Galliformes; Phasianidae
Exons: 4
Source: RefSeq, a predicted model, not a curated record